This is a non-coding RNA of Peromyscus maniculatus bairdii (prairie deer mouse), 2874 nucleotides long. The record is from RefSeq and is a predicted model, not a curated record. Lineage: Eukaryota; Metazoa; Chordata; Mammalia; Rodentia; Cricetidae.
GCUAGGGUGCAGGGGUGUUUCUAGGUGGCAUACCGAGAGCAGAAAGGCUUGCAGCUCAAGGGGAAGGAAGGAGGCGGCCAGCGACGGAAACGCUGCCUUCAGCCUCUUGUUACUCCCCUGCUUUGCAAAUUGAUCAGUCCGGUGGUGAUUUGAAUGGUUAGCUGUGCUGUCAGCUAUCUCCGCACUCCAGCUUUUCUCUCUCCUGGCAGGAACAUCUGGGACACAGACUUUACAAACGGGAAAGAAACUGACAGAGAAAAGGAAGCUUAAGGGGCAUGCCCAGAAAAGCAUGGACACUGGAGGUGAAGCAAGAAACGCCUUCCUUAGACAUCAUGCUCUGAAAGCAGCAGCACCCACUCUUCUGCCUGUGCAUAGGGUAUGGGAAAAUUCAUCAGAGCCUUUCAGAGCACACUGGGGCCAAAUCUUCCCAUUCCAAGCACACUUGUGUGAGUCCUGGAGCUUUGUUCCAUAGAUGUGUUUGAUCUGACUUUGUUUUCUCCUUCUCACAUACAAAAUAAAAGAAGAAUAAAUAAGAUGAAAAAAAUCCACCAAUAGAGAUAAAUGUUGGACAUAGUUCCCUUCAACUAAAGGCUUUCUUCAAAAGCUGGUGUCAAUGGAAUCAUUUCACAUCAACGGUUUGAAAAGAGAACUGUGCUCAAUAGGAACUGAAGCCAUGUGGUAUUGCCGAGCAGACAUUUGCUUAUUAAAUGUCUGAACACUAAUGAACUUUAUAUGCCCACCCCAAGAGUCUCUACCAAUUAGAGGGCUAUUUAUUUCUUUACUUAUUUUAUGGAGAAUAAAUGUCUGAGGUUUUCUUUCAUAAGGAGAAAUUGCAGCAGGUUUGACAAGAUGGGAUCUCUUAGAAGUUAUUUCAGUUUUUCUCGUUAUUUAAAGCAACACAUGAUUGGUGAUGUUCUAACCAUUAGAGAGAAGCAUAAGUUGUAUGAUUAUUGAUGUCAAUAAUUCAAAACUACCUAAUGUUAAUUAUCUAAGUACUUUCAGUGUAUCUCCCCAAAUUUCUAUGUACCUAAUUUUUCCUUUUUAUGGACUUUUCUUCUAUUACCACAUGCACAGUUCCUAAGGUUUCAUGGUAUUUUAAAAAUGCAAAACCAAGAAAUAUUUGUAGUGAUUUAUUUUAGUAGCCAUUGUAAUGAGAAGAAGAUAGAGCUUAAGUAAUUUUUUAAACACACUUUCAUAUUAAAUUUGUGAGGAGAAAAUAAAAGUAGAAUAUUGUGUUCUGCAAAGGUCAUAAGCAAGAGUCUCACGUGAAAGCAGCCACUCUGUCAAAGAGCUCCUCAAAGUGAAAGAGAGGCAUUUGUGUAUUUAGAUAAAAUAUUCUCUCUCAGUGAUUACCCAUUUGGAGAGUGUCUAUACACAGCAUAUGAGGUGAGCUUUAACUCCUUGUGAAUCAUUCAAAUGACGUUUGUCCAUUCUUUAGCUAUCUAAAUGUACAUCCUGAAGUCAGCUGGGAUUCCCAGGUAUGGAAUCACCAACAUAAAAUGGAUGCCUGGACCUGUUUUGAAUCUCACCAAAUCCCUGGCUCAUCCCCAUCUCCAUAUUUGCUUCUCUGUGCAAAUCAAAUGUAGAAUUUCCAGUCAUUGAGAUAUGUAUUUUACCUACUCGUGGCAUGUUCUAUAUUAUUGCAAAGUAAAGCUUUACAAAUAUAGUGUUUUAUUUUAAUCAUUUAAAAAAUAUGUGAUAGGUUUUGAGAGGUUGUCAACAUUGCAUUUUACCAAAAUAUUUCCCCAAAUUUGUAGCCAUUUCUCUACUUUUUAUAUAUUUAUAUCCUUCCUCAACUCUCUUGAUAAUUCAUAGCAGUUUUCUGGAAACCUCUAGAAUUUCUUUAGUUAGAAAAUGGAGUGAGUAUGUCACAAUUUUCAGUAAUGUGUCCCAGCUUUAAGAACAAUUCCCAAUGCGUUAUCUUAAAAUCUUUACAUGGAAUCUCAAACCUAUUUAGCCUUUUCAUUUUUUUCUAAUAAGCAAAGAAGAAAGAUCCAAAGGAAAAAUAUGGGCGUGCUUCUCCCUUUUGUUACCGCUGACCUGCUUGUCCCUGGGCCUUUCUCGAGAAGACAAAGAAAACUUCUCUCCCACCUCAUUAUAGACUGUCCCCUCCACACUAUCUCUCAAAUGCAUCAUUAAUGUGUCUUCUUUCAUCUGUAGCCUCAGACUAAAGGCAUGCCGAUUCAAGAGCUUUAGAAAUGGUCUGUUUCACAGAACUAGCUUUGGGUAUGUGGGUUGGUCAGUAGACUUCUUCAUAGACUAAGACAAGGCAGAGAUCAAGACCCAGGAAGUGCGUUCUUCCCUGUGGUGGCAGCGUCUCUGUCCAUUCACCUAAAAUGUUAUUUCCACGUUUCUAAUUUCUCCUUCUUAAGUUCUUUUAUAUCCUCAGCCACAGUCUCUAUUAUCAUACUGUGUACUCUGCCUGUUGUUCCCUGUUCCCAAACACAAGCCGUGGUAGGAUAGAGAGUGGUACCUGCCUUGUGCGCUUCUGUGCCACCCAAUCUUGAAUAGCAACAAGAACAUAAGAAAUAUUAUUUAGGUCCUUGCACAAAGUACAUCUUCAAAGUGGAACCCCAUAUAGCAGGGAAAAUCUACUGAUGACAAUUAAUUAUUUAAAAAUAUUAUUAUUUCAAGUCCUUUGAAGAUUUGUUUGACUGAUUCUACAGAUGUUUAGUCUAAGAUUGGGAGUUAUCAGUGAGUUGGAGACAUUGCUGUGAAAAAGAAUAGAAACAAUCUGACUGUGAAUUAUUAGUGAAUUGUAGAAGCUGCUGUGCAUAAUAGAAACAUGGAAAGUAAGAAAAGUGAAACACAUUUUUUUGUUAUUUUUUGAAGGUUUUGUUAAAGAUCUCAUAUUAAAAAAUAUCUGAAUACUAA